UACAGAGGGUGCGAGCGUUAAUCGGAAUUACUGGGCGUAAAGCGUGCGUAGACGGUUAUUUAAGUCGGGUGUGAAAGCCCCGGGCUCAACCUGGGAAUUGCAUUCGAGACUGAAUAGCUAGGGUACGGUAGAGGGAAGCGGAAUUUCCGGUGUAGCGGUGAAAUGCGUAGAUAUCGUAAGGAAGACCAGUGGCGAAGGCGGGUCUCUGGACAGUUCCUGACGCUGAGGCACGAAGGCCAGGGGAGCAAACGGG
RNAcentral lists this ribosomal RNA (253 nucleotides) under uncultured bacterium. RNAcentral describes it as "partial 16S ribosomal RNA". It matches the Rfam family "Bacterial small subunit ribosomal RNA", at positions 524 to 776 of the family's 1533-position model. The record is from RNAcentral.